This 74-nucleotide transfer RNA is filed under the name Desulfoplanes formicivorans. It matches the Rfam family "tRNA". Rfam says of the family: Transfer RNA (tRNA) molecules are approximately 80 nucleotides in length. Their secondary structure includes four short double-helical elements and three loops (D, anti-codon, and T loops). Further hydrogen bonds mediate the characteristic L-shaped molecular structure. tRNAs have two regions of fundamental functional importance: the anti-codon, which is responsible for specific mRNA codon recognition, and the 3' end, to which the tRNAs corresponding amino acid is attached (by aminoacyl-tRNA synthetases). tRNAs cope with the degeneracy of the genetic code in two manners: having more than one tRNA (with a specific anti-codon) for a particular amino acid; and 'wobble' base-pairing, i.e. permitting non-standard base-pairing at the 3rd anti-codon position. The record is from Rfam by way of RNAcentral. Lineage: Bacteria; Pseudomonadati; Thermodesulfobacteriota; Desulfovibrionia; Desulfovibrionales; Desulfoplanaceae.
CGGGAAGUAGCGCAGCUUGGUAGCGCAUCUGGUUUGGGACCAGAGGGUCGCAGGUUCAAAUCCUGUCUUCCCGA